AUUGAACGCUGGCGGCAGGCCUAACACAUGCAAGUCGAACGAGUGGCGGACGGGUGAGUAAUGUCUGGGAAACUGCCCGAUGGAGGGGGAUAACUACUGGAAACGGUAGCUAAUACCGCAUACCAUCGGAUGUGCCCAGAUGGGAUUAGCUAGUAGGUGGGGGAACGGCUCACCUAGGGUACGAUCCCUAGCUGGUCUGAGAGGAUGACCAGCCAAACUGGAACGGAGACACGGUCCAGAUUCCUACGGGAGGCAGCAGUGGGGAAUAUUGCCCAAGGGGCGAAAGCCUGCGGAAGCAAUGCCGGGUGGAUGAAGAAGGCCUUCGGGUUGUAAAGUACUUUUAGCGAGGAGGCGUUACUCGCAGAAGAAGCACCGGCUAACUCCGUGCCAGCAGCCGCGGUAAUAC
RNAcentral lists this ribosomal RNA (406 nucleotides) under uncultured bacterium. RNAcentral's name for it is "partial 16S ribosomal RNA". It matches the Rfam family "Bacterial small subunit ribosomal RNA", at positions 29 to 526 of the family's 1533-position model. The record is from RNAcentral.